GUCCUUUUGUACCUCAAAUGUGCAACUUUUGGUUGUGCAUGGCACCGCGCUGGGCAGGAGAGCAGGACCACAGGUUAAGAAAGAAGAAAAAAUCAACCAAUGACAGACGUCCUUGGUCCCACAGCAAGGAGCACAAAACACAGGCGAUGUUCAGCGCAUGCGCAGUAUAAAAAAAGAGUCCAGAGCCGAACAGCUUGCUCUUCUCCUGUCGCCUGUACGCAAUAACACUUCGACAUCGAUGCACCGGUCGGAAAAGCGCCGGUAAAAGGCUCUUCAUUCGGAAGCCUUGUCCUGGAGGCGGGAAAUACGCGCAACGUGAUAUGUGACGACUAUUGUAAACACACUCGAAUGUUUUGCUGGCCUGUUAAAGGAAUGCCGGCACAAGAGUUGCUUAUUUGAAGCUCCAGGAUGUUGUGUGAAGUCGUGCUGUCGUCGGUAUGGCUCCUGUUCGUUAUCUUCUGGGUAGAGACAAUAAGCGUUUGGCUCUUUUUGUCAAUGUUCUACCAGGACCGGGCAUUUUACCACUGGGGAGAUGGUAGAGCGAGAGAAGAAAAGAUUUUUGCAGGUGACCCUAGAGAGAUGAUAUACAUGUUGAACAGAGUUGAUAACCACAUACAGACAGAGAUGCAGACCUGAGCUGGAACAAGAUGAAGAACUCCACUUAAGGGACACAAGAGAGGCUUUGGCAUUGACUGACAAAAAAAAUUAUGGAGAGCAGUAGCUGUUUUUUCUUUGGAGUGACUUCCUUGCACGCUGUGAUGCACAGUCAACAUCAUUACAUGUAGCACCCCUUUUAAUAACAAGUGGUGUAGAGCUGCAGCAUGAGUGAAUGUAAUGUGAGGUCCUCAGUGGUUGACAUUUCUAUUUUCACUUCAAGAUUAUGUAAAAGCAGAAUGAAUGUAGCAGAAAGUGUUUAGUUCGUUUGUUGUGGGUUUUCCACUCCAUUUUUAGAAAAUAGUGUUUCGUUAAUACUACCGUUCUAUGCAACUACAGUUGUUACUGUAUGCUUUAAGUUGUGGCCUUUAUCUGCAGAUGGAUUUUGCUCAGUUCAUAUGUCUCUAUUCUGAUAUAACACUGCUUAUUACGUGAAUGAAAUUCCAUAGGGAGGACACGUAACUCAGCCACCUCACUAGCAACUACAAAAGCUAAUUGAAAGCCCUAAAAUUAGAUAUUGUGUUACAAUUUUUACCCUGAAAUGAGCAACAUGUUCUGUAUACAUAUUAUUUCAAAUGCAGUAUGCCAAAAAUAUCCAGAUGUUUGACUGCUUUAGGUCACAUUUCACAAUAUGCAAACCAGCAUAUUGAGCAAGUAAAAGGAAGAGGGUCCGGGUUCAUUGUUAUGAUGGAGUCUGUGCCACUUGAAUGUAUAGUUUGUAAGGGCAGCUGCAGCAUUUACUUAAAGUAAAAAGAAAAGUGUGAUUUGGAGCACAAUCCUGAUGUUACAUUAGGCCUAUGUCUCCGAAGACAAUCAUAAUAGUGGGUUAGAGUAUGUUCCAUUUUAGGAAUCCAAUCUUUGUGCAAUAUGUCAGUGCUAUAUCUAGCAAAUGAAAUAAAAGUGAUAUUUUAGUUUAAAUACACAACUCUUUUCAAGCCCGUACAAAAUCAGCCAAUAAGUAGUGUUAACAACCGGUAGACAAACAUUGUCAAUAUUGUUUUGUAAAAAAAUGCUGAAUAAAUUUAUUUUUGAGUGCAAUUAUUUUCCCGAGUGCCACGUUAUUCAGCAGCGCGCGCGCCUGGUCGGCA
Gasterosteus aculeatus aculeatus (three-spined stickleback) is the source of this 1742-nucleotide long non-coding RNA. NCBI's taxonomy places the organism in Eukaryota, Metazoa, Chordata, Actinopteri, Perciformes, Gasterosteidae. The record is from Ensembl.